Telopea speciosissima is the source of this 714-nucleotide long non-coding RNA. RefSeq lists it as uncharacterized. The transcript has 2 exons. The record is from RefSeq and is a predicted model, not a curated record. Lineage: Eukaryota; Viridiplantae; Streptophyta; Magnoliopsida; Proteales; Proteaceae.
UUUCCAUAUUUCCAUCCAACUGUAUCACAUGCCAUGAUGCCAAUCAUAUGCCCUCUAUCUUCACUCUUAGAUUUGUUUUUUGAAAAAAUUUUCCAAUUAGGAAACUGCUGCAUAAAAAAUUUGCCUUUUUAUAUUCACAUGGCAGAGUGGAGCAUUCCCCCCCCCCCUCCACCUCUCCCCCCUUUCUCAGUUUUGUGGGCGGAGCAUUUCCCAUAUAUAUAGCUUGAGGCAGCUUACUUGGCACCCAAGUGUUUAUGGGUGACCAAUGGUUAUAUGGCCAUUGUAACCAUUCUAUACAGUGGAUUCUCAGGAUUUGCCACGUCUAAUUUUAUACCCCAACUCAAGCAUAUAGUGACCACAUAUUUGACUUCCCUCUUGUAUUUUCUUCUGUAUAAAUAUUAACUUUUAGAUGUCAAACACAUCCAAAAAAUAUAUUUUUAUUUUGGAUAUAUACAUCCUCAUCCAUAUCUGACCCAAAUAGGGUUGGACCUGGAUGAGAAACCGAUUAGUAUUCUUCAUCCUGAAAACUUUUGUAGUAUGAUUUGCACAUUUAAGCCUCGGCUUUUCUACAACUGUGUUCAAAUAAAGUCCAAAACACACAACCUGAAUUUCAAUAUGAAUUCGUUUUCUCCCUUUUCUUUCAGGAUGGGAUUAAUUAUGUUUCUGGUCUAUCCGAAAUGCGUUGGAUGAUUAUUUUAUUGUUGUGUUGUGCUU